AGCAGCAAAAGACGAAGCAUAAUUGUUGUCGUGUGCAGCCCUUACUAGUAUAUCGCAUCGGUGGAUGAACGUGAUUUAAAAGGCAUCAACGAAACAUUCGGUUCAAUGGUCAUGUUUAGCAAAACCUUGCCUAUUUAAACACCAUGAGCAGAGGACUAUUUCCUGUAUUGGUGGAGGAGAAAACUGAUGCUUCCUCCUAUUGGGAUACAGAUGCAGAGAACCCAAUUUUCAAAAGCUGGAGCUACAGCUGCGGCAAAUUAAAAUGGAAAUUAUGAUGGCAGUGGCCUACUUGUGUUUCACAAACCUUCCACUGAGAUUGAGACCAGCAUGCAAGACCAAAGUCAAAAAACA
Long non-coding RNA from Mya arenaria, 351 nucleotides. RefSeq lists it as uncharacterized. The record is from RefSeq and is a predicted model, not a curated record. The transcript has 3 exons. NCBI's taxonomy places the organism in Eukaryota, Metazoa, Mollusca, Bivalvia, Myida, Myidae.